UUUUAAAUAGCCCCGGGGCGGGUGCCUGGGUGGCUCAGUUGGUUAAGCCUCCGACUUGGGCUCAGGUCAUGAUCUCAUGGUCUGUGGGUUCCAUCCGGCGUCGGGCUCUGUGCUGAUGGCUCAGAGCCUGGAGCCUGCUUCAUGUUCUAUGUCUCCCUCUCUCGCUGCCCCUCCCACACUCAUGCUGUCUCUCUCUGUCUCUCAAAAAUAAAUAAACAUUAAAGAAAAAAAAAUAGCCCCAGGGCACCUGGGUGGCUCGGUUAACUGUCUGACUCUUGGUUUCAGCUCAGGUCAUGAUCUCACAGUUUUGUGGGUUCGAGCCUUGCAUCGGGCUCUGUGCUGAUGGUGUGGAACCUGCUUGGGAUUCUCUCUCUCCCUCUCUCUCUGUCACUCUCCUACUCACGCUGUCUCUGUCUCUCACAAUAAAUAAACUUAAAAAAAAAUAGCCCCAAACUGGAAACAACUCAAAUGUUCACCAACAAGUGUAUCUCCUGGAAUACUACUCAGCAAUAAAAAGGAACAAGCUAUUGAUUCAUACAACUACACAAAUGAAUCUCAAAAUAAUUGUGCUGAGUGAUAGAAGCCAGACCAAAAAAGAGCACAUAGCAUAUGAUCUGAUUUAUAUAAAAUUGUAGAAAAUGAAAACUGAGCUGUAAUGAUAGUGGUUGCCUGGGGAUGGGGGGAAGGAGAUAGGGAGGGAUGUAUCCCCUAAGGGACACAAGGAAAUUUGGGGAAGUAUAUGAGUCAGGGUCCUCCAGAAAAACAGAACCAACAUAUUAUGUUCACACGUGAAUAUAUAUUCACAUACAGUAAAACCUUGGUUUGCGAGCAUAAUUCGUUCCAGAAACAUGCUUGUAAUCCAAAGCACUUGUAUACCAAAGCAAAUUUCCCCAUAAGAAAUAAUGGAAACUCAGAUGAUUCGUUCUACAACCCAAAAUAUUCAUAUAAGAAUGAUUACAGUACUAUAACAUAAUACAAAAGAAUAAAGAAAAUACAAAAUAUAAAGAACAACAAACAACCUGCACUUCCCUUUGAAAGCCUUCGUGGCUGGUAUGAGGGAAAGAGAGGAGGGUUAUUGUGUAGGACGACUUUCACUAUCACGAAAGGAAUCACCGCUCUCUAUUGGCUCAAUGGAACCUUUUUCUUCUCCUGCAACCUUAUCCAAUGGCCCCUGCUUUUGCCUUUUUUUGAGGAUUUUGCAGAACCGUGACAUCGCAUUGGCGAUCACCCACAAUCCCGCAGCCGGAGAGAGAGAAGAACCAUUGGCUCAGUGGUAAUCGUGUGACAUCUGGCAUCACGUAGUACUCGGAUUGCAAGGCAUCUCUUGUUUUUCAAGUUAAGAUUGAUUAGAAAUGUUUGCUCGUCUUGGGGAACACUCGCAGAACGAGCUGGUCGAAAUCCAAGGUUUUACUGUAUUUUGUGUUCACCACGGGAGGUGAUAACCGCUACAGGGAGGAACGGCCCUGAAAGACAGUGGUGAAGGGAAAGCCUCCCAGUAGACACAUUUUGGCCAAUCUGGUUGUGUGCUUCGGAGGAAAGGUGGUUUGGGGUCAAGGUCUACACUGACUGAUGAGUCAUGGGUCAUAGAUUCGCUGGCUGGUCAGGAACCCUGGAUGGUCGAGAUCGGAAGGCUUGUGAGCAGGAAGUCUGGGAACGAGUUACAUGGAGGUGGAAGCCCCUGGGUGAGCAUCAUGUGACACUACAAGGAGCAGGGUCCUGUUCCGGGUCCAGACUUGCUUUUCUUUACUGGCAGCGUGCCAGCACCACCACUUGGAGAUUUUCAGAGUGCCCUGCUCAUUGUCAUGGUAACCCACACAACAUCAUCUCCAGCCAAGAAACUCAUUAUACGGCAAAAGGCAUGUGGCACUGAGUUCAUGCCCGUGGAAUUCACUGGCCUGUGCACGGCUCCCGAGAUACUCAGUGGCACUUGUGUGGAUGGACUGAGGAAAUGGCCUGCUGAGGGCUCAGCUGGGGCACCAGCGGGAGUAUGUGGGAUCUCUCCGGGAGACACCACGUGUAUUCGGUGCCGUUUCCCCCAUGGCCCGAAUACGCAGGUUCUGUACUUUGACAGGCUGCCCCUGGAGUCUCGAACUGGUCUGGAGCGUAGCCCGGGGAGGAAAUUUUGGAGAUCUGAAGAGAAGACGUGACAUAGUCACAUAGGUGUGUUAGAUGUGCGCAAGGACCAGGGUGGAGGCCGAAGGGGCCCCCGUCGCUUUUUCACCAACCAGUCCUCUUACAGAACGUUCGUUACAGAAUGUUCGCUGGAGAACAUUCCCGGGAGAGCAGUCUUGAUCCCGUUAAACUGGAAGGUCAGGUUGGUGACUUGUGGGCUUCUUGACCGAGCCCGCAUCAAAUGGGGUUCGCUGUACUGGCCGGGAUAAGGAGGACUGUACCUGAGCCAGAGGACUCGCCAGAGCGCGGCAGGGUCUCCCCGUCCAGAAACCGGCCAAUAGGAAACCGCGGUGACUCAGGGAGGACAGGACAGCUAAGAAUUUGGAUUCCGUGGGAAUGAAGAUUUGCACCACCCCGAGAAGUGAAACCCAGAGGGCCGCAGUGCUGCCGAGAGGUAGGGAAGUCGGUGCAGGCAGCGAGAGGAGGGAGCCAAGAGUGCCACCCCAGGGCUGGAAGCAGCAGCAAGUGGGCUCUUUCCCCCCCCCUUUCCCUGCUGCCCUCCGUGAAGAACAAUGUUGGCCACUAACGCCGUCGUUUGGAUUCGCAUUGCAAGUAUGACACAGUUGACACUACCCACCGCAGUCGAUGCCUGAUGGGACUUGGUGUUUCCCCAGGGUGGGGGCCACAGGAUCCAGUCGUCGAAAUAAAGGACAAGGACUCUCUCUGCCCCUCCGGAUUCAUUUUCCAUCCUUUUCUCGCCUGCUGGGUGUCCAGGAGGCUGACCGCUAUAGAAUCCACUCUCCAGACCCUCUCAUCUUCUGGCCUCCAGUUGGAUUUGACCAAUGGAGGCAUGAGCAGGAGAUCGUAGGUUUGGAGGAAACAUAGAUCAGGGGAUUUGUCACGGUUUUGACAGUGCUCGCUUGGCCCUGAAGCCCCGGGGCGGGCAGACCCUCUUCCACAGCCCUGACCCCCACAUGGUAAUGGGAGCAUCAUCCCUUCUUUGUCCCCUUGGUCCCCGUUUGGUGCUUGUAUCUGGGUGUCUUAUUAUCAUUAUUUUCCCUUAGCCCUGCCCGUGUCUCAUAAAGAGGCCCUUCAUUAACUUUCUUCAAUUAAACCUUCUUUCUGUGCCAUAUA
Neofelis nebulosa (Clouded leopard) is the source of this 3246-nucleotide long non-coding RNA. RefSeq lists it as uncharacterized. The record is from RefSeq and is a predicted model, not a curated record. The transcript has 2 exons. NCBI's taxonomy places the organism in Eukaryota, Metazoa, Chordata, Mammalia, Carnivora, Felidae.